GGUGAAGAACGUAGUGAAAUGCGAUAAGUAGUGUGAAUUGCAGAAUUCAGUGAAUCAUCGAAUCUUUGAACGCACAUUGCGCCCUUUGGUAUUCCAAAGGGCAUGCCUGUUCGAGCGUCAUUUGUACCCUCAUGCUUUGCUUGGUGUUGGCGUCUUGUCUCUAGCUUUGCUGGAGACUCGCCUUAAAGUAAUUGGCAGCCGGCCUACUGGUUUCGGAGCGCAGCACAAGUCGCACUCUCUAUCAGCAAAGGUCUAGCAUCCAUUAAGCCUUUUUUUCAACUUUUGACCUCGGAUCAGGUAGGGAUACCCGCUGAACUUAAGCAUAUCAAUAAGCGGAGGA
RNAcentral lists this unclassified non-coding RNA (340 nucleotides) under soil metagenome. RNAcentral's name for it is "partial contains 5.8S ribosomal RNA, internal transcribed spacer 2, and large subunit ribosomal RNA". The stretch from base 3 to 120 matches the Rfam family "5.8S ribosomal RNA", at positions 37 to 154 of the family's 154-position model. The record is from RNAcentral.